CGCAAUGGGCGAAAGCCUGACGGCAGCGACGCCGCGUGGGGGAUGAAGGCCUUCGGGUUGUAAACCCCUUUUCCUGGGGAAGAAUAAGGUCGGGAGUAACUGCCCGACUGAUGACGGUACCCAGGGAAUAAGCCCCGGCUAAUUACGUGCCAGCAGCCGCGGUAAUACGUAUGGGGCAAGCGUUGUUCGGAUUCACUGGGCGUAAAGGGCGUGUAGGCGGUGAGGUAAGUCGGAUGUGAAAUCUCCGGGCUCAACCCGGAAAUUGCAUUCGAUACUGCCUCGCUAGAGUACCGGAGAGGGAGACGGAAUUCCUGGUGUAGGGGUGAAAUCUGUAGAUAUCAGGAGGAACACCAGUGGCGAAGGCGGUCUCCUGGCCGGAUACUGACGCUGAGGCGCGAAAGCUAGGGGAGCAAACAGGAUUAGAUACCCUGGUAGUCCUAGCUGUAAACGUUGUGCACUAGGUGUGAGUGGCUUGUCCACUCGUGCCGAAGCUAACGCAUUAAGUGCAAAGGAAUACCGCCUGGGGAGUAUGCUCGCAAGGGUG
This 544-nucleotide ribosomal RNA is filed under the name uncultured vent bacterium ML-4b. RNAcentral's name for it is "bacterial SSU rRNA". It matches the Rfam family "Bacterial small subunit ribosomal RNA", at positions 367 to 896 of the family's 1533-position model. The record is from RNAcentral.